UAACUCUUGAUUUAUUCUUGAUAUAUUUUUUGUAAACAGACUGUAAAAUAGUCUAAGAAAUUUCAUAUUAAAAAGAUAGUUAUUUUGGUGAUUUACUCCAACA
This is a long non-coding RNA of Dipodomys spectabilis (banner-tailed kangaroo rat), 103 nucleotides long. RefSeq lists it as uncharacterized. The record is from RefSeq and is a predicted model, not a curated record. Lineage: Eukaryota; Metazoa; Chordata; Mammalia; Rodentia; Heteromyidae. The transcript is spliced from 3 exons.